UGAAGACUAACUACUGCGAAAGCAUUUGCCAAGAAUGUUUUCAUUAAUCAAGAACGAAAGUUAGAGGUUCGAAGGCGAUCAGAUACCGCCCUAGUUCUAACCAUAAACGAUGCCAGCUAGCGAUCCGAGGAUGUUUAUAUUUUAUGUCUCCUCGGGAAGCUUCCGGGAAACCAAAGCUUUUGGGUUCCGGGGGAAGUAUGGUUGCAAAACUGAAACUUAAAGGAAUUGACGGAAGGGCACCACCAGGAGUGGAGCCUGCGGCUUAAUUUGACUCAACACGGGAAAUCUCACCAGGCCCGGACACUGGAAGGAUUGUACAGAUUGAGAGCUCUUUCUCGAUUCGGUGGGUGGUGGUGCAUGGCCGUUCUUAGUUGGUGGAGUGAUUUGUCUGGUUAAU
RNAcentral lists this ribosomal RNA (397 nucleotides) under Euterpina acutifrons. RNAcentral's name for it is "SSU rRNA". It matches the Rfam family "Eukaryotic small subunit ribosomal RNA", at positions 930 to 1323 of the family's 1831-position model. Lineage: Eukaryota; Metazoa; Arthropoda; Copepoda; Harpacticoida; Euterpinidae. The record is from RNAcentral.